Molecule: ribosomal RNA, 251 nt
Filed under: uncultured Anaeroplasma sp.
Lineage: Bacteria; Bacillati; Mycoplasmatota; Mollicutes; Anaeroplasmatales; Anaeroplasmataceae
Description: partial 16S ribosomal RNA
Rfam family: Bacterial small subunit ribosomal RNA
Source: RNAcentral
UACGUAGGGAGCGAGCGUUAUCCGGAAUUAUUGGGCGUAAAGGGUGCGUAGACGGGGAAUAUAAGUCGUUUGUAAAAAUGCUAAGCUCAACUUAGUAGGGCAAACGAUACUGUAGACCUAGAGUACAGCAGAGGCAAGUGGAACUUCAUGUGUAGCGGUAAAAUGCGUAAAUAUAUGGAAGAACACCAGUGGCGAAGGCGGCUUGCUGGGCUGAUACUGACGUUGAGGCACGAAAGCGUGGGGAGCAAACA